RNAcentral lists this small nuclear RNA (100 nucleotides) under Castor canadensis (American beaver). The record is from RNAcentral. Lineage: Eukaryota; Metazoa; Chordata; Mammalia; Rodentia; Castoridae.
GUGCUCACUUAGGCGGCACAUAUCCUAAAAUUGGGAUGAUACUGAUGAGGUUAGCAUAGGCCCUGCACAGGAUGCAAUAAAAGUGUUCCAUUAAAGAAAU